AGUGAACGCUGGCGGCGUGCCUAAUACAUGCAAGUCGAACGGAGAUUAAGUAGCUUGCUAUUUAAUCUUAGUGGCGCACGGGUGAGUAAUAUAUAUCUAACUUGCCCAUUACUAAGGGACAACAGUUGGAAACGACUGCUAAUACCUUAUACUCCGUAUCUAUAUAAGUAGAUACGGGAAAGUUUUUCGGUAAUGGAUAGGGCUAUAUCGUAUCAGCUAGUUGGUAAGGUAAUGGCUUACCAAGGCUAUGACGCGUAACUGGUCUGAGAGGAUGAUCAGUCACACUGGAACUGAGACACGGUCCAGACUCCUACGGGAGGCAGCAGUAGGGAAUAUUGCUCAAUGGGGGAAACCCUGAAGCAGCAACGCCGCGUGGAGGAUGACACUUUUCGGAGCGUAAACUCCUUUUCUUGGGAAAGAAUUAUGACGGUACCCAAGGAAUAAGCACCGGCUAACUCCGUG
This 462-nucleotide ribosomal RNA is filed under the name uncultured bacterium. RNAcentral's name for it is "partial 16S ribosomal RNA". It matches the Rfam family "Bacterial small subunit ribosomal RNA", at positions 29 to 507 of the family's 1533-position model. The record is from RNAcentral.